CAGCAGCCGCGGGAAUACGAAGGGUGCAAGCGUUACUCGGAAUUACUGGGCGUAAAGCGUGCGUAGGUGGUGGUUUAAGUCCGUUGUGAAAGCCCUGGGCUCAACCUGGGAAUUGCAGUGGAUACUGGGUCACUAGAGUGUGGUAGAGGAUAGUGGAAUUUCCGGUGUAGCAGUGAAAUGCGUAGAGAUCGGAAGGAACAUCUGUGGCGAAGGCGACUAUCUGGGCCAACACUGACACUGAGGCACGAAAGCGUGGGGAGCAAACAGGAUUAGAUACCCCAGUAGUCCCUGUCUUUAUACA
This 301-nucleotide ribosomal RNA is filed under the name uncultured bacterium. RNAcentral describes it as "partial 16S ribosomal RNA". It matches the Rfam family "Bacterial small subunit ribosomal RNA", at positions 509 to 809 of the family's 1533-position model. The record is from RNAcentral.